Molecule: ribosomal RNA, 522 nt
Filed under: uncultured bacterium
Lineage: Bacteria
Description: bacterial SSU rRNA
Rfam family: Bacterial small subunit ribosomal RNA
Source: RNAcentral
CACUAGUGAUUGAGUUUGAUCAUGGCUCAGGACGAACGCUGGCGGCGUGCCUAAUACAUGCAAGUCGAGCGAAUCAAUGGGAGCUUGCUCCUGUUGGUUAGCGGCGGACGGGUGAGUAACACGUGGGCAACCUGCCUGUAAGACUGGGAUAACACCGGGAAACCGGUGCUAAUACCGGAUAAUCCUUUUCCUCUCAUGAGGAAAAGCUGAAAGUCGGUUUUGGCUGACACUUACAGAUGGGCCCGCGGCGCAUUAGCUAGUUGGUGAGGUAACGGCUCACCAAGGUGACGAUGCGUAGCCGACCUGAGAGGGUGAUCGGCCACACUGGGACUGAGACACGGCCCAGACUCCUACGGGAGGCAGCAGUAGGGAAUCUUCCACAAUGGACGAAAGUCUGAUGGAGCAACGCCGCGUGAGCGAUGAAGGCCUUCGGGUCGUAAAGCUCUGUUGUUAGGGAAGAACAAGUACCGGAGUAACUGCCGGUACCUUGACGGUACCUAACCAGAAAGCCACGGCUAACUA